GAUGAACGCUGGCGGCGUGCCUAAUACAUGCAAGUCGAGCGAAUGGAUUAAGAGCUUGCUCUUAUGAAGUUAGCGGCGGACGGGUGAGUAACACGUGGGUAACCUGCCCAUAAGACUGGGAUAACUCCGGGAAACCGGGGCUAAUACCGGAUAACAUUUUGAACCGCAUGGGUCGAAAUUGAAAGGCGGCUUCGGCUGUCACUAAUGGAUGGACCCGCGUCGCAUUAGCUAGGUGGUGAGGUAACGGCUCACCAAGGCAACGAUGCGUAGCCGACCUGAGAGGGUGAUCGGCCACACUGGGACUGAGACACGGCCCAGACUCCUACGGGAGGCAGCAGUAGGGAAUCUUCCGCAAUGGACGAAAGUCUGACGGAGCAACGCCGCGUGAGUGAUGAAGGCUUUCGGGUUGUAAAACUCUGUUGUUAGGGAAGAACAAGUGCUAGUUGAAUAAGCUGGCACCUUGACGGUACCUAACCAGAAAGCCACGGCUAACUACGUGCCAGCCGCCGCUGUAA
Molecule: ribosomal RNA, 515 nt
Filed under: uncultured bacterium
Lineage: Bacteria
Description: partial 16S ribosomal RNA
Rfam family: Bacterial small subunit ribosomal RNA
Source: RNAcentral